This 860-nucleotide ribosomal RNA is filed under the name uncultured archaeon. Its description in RNAcentral is "bacterial SSU rRNA". It matches the Rfam family "Archaeal small subunit ribosomal RNA", at positions 5 to 871 of the family's 1478-position model. The record is from RNAcentral.
CGGUUGAUCCUGCCGGACCNGACUGCUAUCGGAUUGAUACUAANCCAUGCGAGUCAUUGUAGUAAUACAAGGCAGACGGCUCAGUAACGCGUAGUCAACCUACCCUAUGGACGGGGAUAACCUCGGGAAACUGAGAAUAAUACCCGAUAGAACAUUAUGCCUGGAAUGGUUUAUGUUUCAAAUAAUUUAUUGCCGUAGGAUGGGACUGCGGCCUAUCAGUUUGUUGGUGAGGUAAUGGCCCACCAAGACUAUUACAGGUACGGGCUCUGAGAGGAGUAGCCCGGAGAUGGGUACUGAGACACGGACCCAGGCCCUAUGGGGCGCAGCAGGCGAGAAAACUUUGCAAUGUGCGAAAGCACGACAAGGUUAAUCCGAGUGGUUUCUGCUAAAGGAACCUUUUGUCAGUCCUAGAAACACUGGUGAAUAAGGGGUGGACAAGUUCUGGUGUCAGCCGCCGCGGUAAAACCAGCACCUCAAGUGGUCAGGAUGAUUAUUGGGCCUAAAGCAUCCGUAGCCUGCUUUGUAAGUCUUCGGUUAAAUCCAUACGCUCAACGUAUGGGCUGCCGGGAAUACUGCAAAGCUAGGGAGUGGGAGAGGUAGACGGUACUCGGUAGGAAGGGGUAAAAUCCUUUGAUCUAUUGAUGACCACCUGUGGCGAAGGCGGUCUACCAGAACACGUCCGACGGUGAGGGAUGAAAGCUGGGGGAGCAAACCGGAUUAGAUACCCGGGUAGUCCCAGCUGUAAACUAUGCAAGCUCAGUGAUGCAUUGGCUUGAUGCCAAUGCAGUGCUGCAGGGAAGCCGUUAAGUUUGCCGCCUGGGAAGUACGUACGCAAGUAUGAAACUUAAAGGAAUUGGCGG